This 735-nucleotide long non-coding RNA is filed under the name Heterocephalus glaber (naked mole-rat). RNAcentral's name for it is "lncRNA (ENSHGLG00000041218.1)". The record is from RNAcentral. Lineage: Eukaryota; Metazoa; Chordata; Mammalia; Rodentia; Bathyergidae.
AGCCACUCAGAUGCUGCUAUGUGAAAGAGCCAUACUUGUUGCUUGCUGCUUGAACAUCUACUUUUUCUCCUCCAGUGUGUGAUAAACUUGGGAGAUCAUACACUGCAGUCGUGCCACUGGGGAAAAGACAGAGGAAAGGGGAAAGGGACAAGGAGGAAGAGAAGAAAAGGAGGAGGAAGAGAAGAAAAGGAGGAGAAAGAGCAGGAGGGAAAGAAGGCCCUGCCCCAUCGCUAAUGGAUGGUCCUAAGAGCCACACACACGACACCAUGAAGUCCUCACUGGCCACUGGAUGAAGGAAGACUGGCAGAGAAAGAGUUAGCACAACUGCUUGAUUGUUAGCCAGGAGAAAGCUGCCUCUUAUCUGUUCACUGGACUCUGAAAGAACAUAGGGCAAAGAAGACAGAGGGGCUGGAGGAAGAAGAAUCUUCAUUUAAAUCCGGGCUCCGUUCUUGAGAAGCUGAGUAUCUCUGAGGAAGUUUCUUGUUAAGAUGCAGAAUGCUCAGUAGGAGGCAAAAGCCAGAAAAUAUCUUCGCAUGACCUGAAGAAGUGUUAUUCAGAUGGCAGUGCUGAGAAGGUGAGGUAGCUGCUUGGGACCUCCGCAGCGGGACGAUUCCACUCUGACACCGGAGAGGAGGCGCUGCUGUGCGCGGUGUUACAGCCAACAGAAACUGAGACGGGAAUUUCUGAUUUCUGGUCCAGCGUACUGAAACUGGCUGAGGUGUGGGCACGUAUGGA